This 253-nucleotide ribosomal RNA is filed under the name uncultured bacterium. Its description in RNAcentral is "partial 16S ribosomal RNA". It matches the Rfam family "Bacterial small subunit ribosomal RNA", at positions 524 to 776 of the family's 1533-position model. The record is from RNAcentral.
UACGUAGGUGACAAGCGUUGUCCGGAUUUACUGGGCGUAAAGAGCGCGCAGGCGGUCGAUCAAGUCGAGUGUGAAAGCCCCCGGCUCAACUGGGGAGGGUCAUUCGAUACUGAUCGACUCGAAGGCAGGAGAGGGUAGUGGAAUUCCCGGUGUAGUGGUGAAAUGCGUAGAUAUCGGGAGGAACACCAGUGGCGAAGGCGGCUCUCUGGACCUGUCCUGACGCUGAGGCGCGAAAGCUAGGGGAGCGAACAGG